RNAcentral lists this transfer RNA (73 nucleotides) under Flavobacteriales bacterium. RNAcentral describes it as "tRNA-Glu". It matches the Rfam family "tRNA". Rfam says of the family: Transfer RNA (tRNA) molecules are approximately 80 nucleotides in length. Their secondary structure includes four short double-helical elements and three loops (D, anti-codon, and T loops). Further hydrogen bonds mediate the characteristic L-shaped molecular structure. tRNAs have two regions of fundamental functional importance: the anti-codon, which is responsible for specific mRNA codon recognition, and the 3' end, to which the tRNAs corresponding amino acid is attached (by aminoacyl-tRNA synthetases). tRNAs cope with the degeneracy of the genetic code in two manners: having more than one tRNA (with a specific anti-codon) for a particular amino acid; and 'wobble' base-pairing, i.e. permitting non-standard base-pairing at the 3rd anti-codon position. Lineage: Bacteria; Pseudomonadati; Bacteroidota; Flavobacteriia; Flavobacteriales. The record is from RNAcentral.
GGAGGGUUCGUCUAGCAGGACAGGACACCACCCUUUCAAGGUGGAUACACGGGUUCGAUCCCCGUACCCUUCA